UUUUUCCUUUUUUUUUUUUUGAAAUAUUGGAGGAGAGAAUUCGUCAUUAAAGAAAUUUGAACUACAGUGUUUGCUCCCAGGUAGUCUUACCUUUAACAUUCAAUUUUUAUUAUGAUAAGAGAAUUUAGUACUAUCUAAACUACUGUUUUCAAUAAUUCAAAUGCAACUAAGCUAUCAAUUUAUGUCAUAAAUUUGUUCAUAAAAAAUAGUGAUAUAAAAAUAAUAAUAAAAAUAUUGUGAUGGACAUGAGAUAAAGAAAUUGAAUUUGAGAAGAGAACAAGAAGAAUUUAGAAUUGCUUAAUUAUUCCCUCAAAACUUGGGGAUUAAAUCGAGUACAGAAAAUCCUAAUUACAAGCAAAUAAUAUUCCUAAUUAAGUGCAAAAAAGCCUUUCAAAUCCGGUAUGAUUUCCCCCUUAAGCUAGAGUGUACAUAUUGUAUGCUAUUAGCUUAUUACAAAAAGAACCAAUUCUAGACCCUCGGAGAGAUUUAGUAUGAAUUUCUGUCAACUGUUUAUUUAAAUUAACAAAACUAUUAGUAAUCAAUCGUGACUCAAUCUUUUGUCGGAUAAAGUGAUUAUCUCUAUGUGUUUCGUUCUUUCGUGAAACACAUGAUUAGAAGCAAUAUGCAAUGGUACCUGAUCGUCACAAAUUAGCUUCAUUUAUUAAUCUCCUCCACAUUUUAACUCUUUAAGAAGUUGCUUUAACCAUACAAGCUAGCAUGUGGCCAAAGCCAUAACUCAAUACUCUACUUUUGUAGUUGAUCUGGCCAUUACAUCCUGCUUUUUACUUUUUUAGGAUAUUAGAUUCCCUUCGAUUAGAAUGCUACCUUAAAGUGGAUUGUUUAUUGGAAGGAGAUCUUACCCAGUCUCAAUCAGAAUAUGUCCCUUGUCAUCAUAAUCCAUACCCUCCUAUGUCGAAGCCCCUUAAUAUACUUAAGAAUGCAAAUUACUGCAUUUCAAUGAUUGUCACAAGAAGCCCGAAGGAGAUGGCUAACCAUACUUACUGCAAAAAAAGUUGUUUGGUCUUGAGAUUAUGAGAUAAUUAAAUUUGCCAACAACUUUUCCAUAUCAACCAAGGUCUUUCAGUGGCUCUCUCUAUCCAUAAACAAGCUUUAACAUUUGAGUCCAUAAGAGUAUUGUAGAAAGAGAUGAUUCUU
RNAcentral lists this unclassified non-coding RNA (1155 nucleotides) under Hevea brasiliensis (rubber tree). Lineage: Eukaryota; Viridiplantae; Streptophyta; Magnoliopsida; Malpighiales; Euphorbiaceae. The record is from RNAcentral.